Molecule: long non-coding RNA, 354 nt
Filed under: Physcomitrium patens
Lineage: Eukaryota; Viridiplantae; Streptophyta; Bryopsida; Funariales; Funariaceae
Description: long non-coding RNA (PPAT_LNC001022)
Source: RNAcentral
UGUUAUUAGCUACUCAUAUUGUCCAUCAAUGUUCCAUAUCAAUUGGCCAUUUCUGCUUCUUAUAGAGAUCCUUAGACAUAAGAUUUAUUUCAGAACCAUGAUCGACUAAAGCAACAAUUGAUUUUUCUAUAUCUCCUACUUUCACCAAUACUUCAAUAGUUGUCUUUGUCUAAUGUUUCCAAGUAUAAUGGCUUGAAGCUUUCAUUUCCUUAUCACUAUAAUCUUUGAAACGUACUCCUUGAUUAUAUCCAUUAUUUUCAUUUUUUGAUUGUUUUUAACCAUUAUCAACCUCUUUUUUAUCUUUAUAUAGUCCUACAUCAAUAGAAUGACUCAUUCCAGCUUCACCCAUUAAUU